AUGUGAUCGUCUCUCGCAUAUCAAUAAGCGGAGGAAAAGUCGACUACCUACGCUUAGGAUGUUGACGAGACUGUCGAUCUCAUCUAUACAUGACUCUGUGCAUAUCAAUAAGCGGAGGAAAAGAAACUAACAAGGAUUCCCCUAGUAACGGCGAGUGAAGCGGGAAGAGCUCAAAUUUGAAAUCUUAAAGGGUUUCCCUUUACGAAUUGUAGUUUAAAGAAGUGUUUUCUGUUGAGGUUUUGGUAAAAGUUCUUUGGAAUAGGACAUCAUAGAGGGUGAGAAUCCCGUAUUUGACCUUUACUUUCAACUUUGUGAUACACUUUCAAAGAGUCGGAUUGUUUGGGAAUGCAGUCCAAAAUGGGUGGUAAAUUUCAUCUAAAGCUAAAUAUUGGCGAGAGACCGAUAGCGAACAAGUACCGUGAGGGAAAGAUGAAAAGAACUUUGAAAAGAGAGUUAAACAGUACGUGAAAUUGUCAAAAGGGAAGCGUUUGACACCAGUGUUGUUUUUCUGAAAAUCAAUUAAAGAACUGUUUAUGCUAAGCUGUUUAGACUUUAUCAGCUAUCUGUUUAGUUUUGAGCUUUUCUUUAAUGCACUUUUCAGUUAACAAGUCAACAUCAAUUUCUUUUGCUGUAAAAAAGCUUGAGGAAGGUGGCUUGAGAUUCGUCUUAAGUGUUUAUAGCCUCUUGCCUAUGCAGUCGGAGAGAUUGAGGUCUGCAGCGUAGAUCCUUCGGGGCUAAAUGCAUUUGUGCUAAGUUAUAGCAUUUUAUAGACAACUUGUUGACUAUGAUUUGUCUUGUAGCUUACUCGCUUAUGUUAUUUUACCUACGCUUAGGAUGUUGAUCUCUCACAGUCGAGC
This 857-nucleotide ribosomal RNA is filed under the name uncultured Neocallimastigales. RNAcentral's name for it is "partial large subunit ribosomal RNA". It matches the Rfam family "Eukaryotic large subunit ribosomal RNA", at positions 1 to 645 of the family's 3401-position model. The record is from RNAcentral. Lineage: Eukaryota; Fungi; Neocallimastigomycota; Neocallimastigomycetes; Neocallimastigales.